GAUGAAGAACGUAGCGAAAUGCGAUACGUAAUGUGAAUUGCAGAAUUCAGUGAAUCAUCGAAUCUUUGAACGCAUAUUGCGCUCUCUGGUAUUCCGGAGAGCAUGCUUGUUUGAGUAUCAGUAAACACCUCAACUUCCAUAUCUUUUUUUGAAAUGGGAGUUGGACUUGAGUGAUCCCAACGCUUUUCCUCACCGAAAAGUGGCGGGUUACUUGAAAUGCAGGUGCAGCUGGACUUUUCUCUGAGCUAUAAGCAUAUCUAUUUAGUCUGCCUAAAAAACAGAUUAUUACCUUUGCUGCAGCUAACAUAAAGGAGAUUAGUUCUUGUGCUGACUGAUGCAGGAUUCACAAAGACAGCUUCGGCCGACUUUGUAAACUCGAUCUCAAAUCAAGUAAGACUACCCGCUGAACUUAAGCAUAUUCAAUAAGCGGAGGA
RNAcentral lists this unclassified non-coding RNA (434 nucleotides) under soil metagenome. RNAcentral describes it as "partial contains 5.8S ribosomal RNA, internal transcribed spacer 2, and large subunit ribosomal RNA". The stretch from base 1 to 120 matches the Rfam family "5.8S ribosomal RNA", at positions 35 to 154 of the family's 154-position model. The record is from RNAcentral.